Molecule: RNA transcript, 1404 nt
Organism: Phymastichus coffea
Lineage: Eukaryota; Metazoa; Arthropoda; Insecta; Hymenoptera; Eulophidae
Exons: 4
Source: RefSeq, a predicted model, not a curated record
CGCGGAAACUGGUAAAUUUGAAAAUUUUGAGUUAUUGAACCAAAAAAUUUACUUAAAAAUUAAUAAUUUCUGAAAACGAAUGUGAAAAAGUGGUUUGCUGCGUAUGCGCAGCUGACGGCUGCCGCUAAGUCUGCUUCGAUCCUCGAUCAUAACAUUAGCCUAAUCUCUAUCAAACUACGUGAUUGUUGUACGUGAUUUUAAUAUAUUUGUCAAGUAUCAAUUCAUAUAACAAAAUGCCGAAACACAACAUUCAUCACGCGAAAGGAAAGAGGAAAAGCAAAUUUGCUAAACAAAAGGUUGUACAAGGGCUUAAAAAUAAUUUGGAUGCAAUAUCCGAAGCAGGAAAACUGAAAUCUCAAAUGAAGUGCUUGGUUGCCCAAACAAGUUACUUAAUGUAAUGAAAAUUAAUAUACUAAGAGGAAAAAGCUGCUCAUGUAAGACGAGUUGUAGAAAUUGAUACUUUGGCAGCAGAAAUGUGGUAUAAAGAUUGUCAAAUACCAAUAUCAUUUAGAAAUGUAACUGGUGAAACCCAAAAAGGAUUGGCUAGUGUAUUAGAUGUUACCUGCAUAAAAUGUAAUUCACUGUGUGCUGUACAUACCAAUGUAUAUAACCCAGUUAAUAAAAGCUAUGAAGUGAAUGGUAAAUUAGCUUUUGGAAUGAUUGAUGCAAGUGUUGGCGAAUGUCACAUUAAUACUGUAUUGUCAGCAACUGAUGUACCAACAGUAUUACCAACAACAAUGAAAAAGUAUGAACGACAAGUUGGUGUUGCUCAAGAAUCAUGUCUUGAAGCUGUACGACUAGAAAAGCAGAUGACCUUAAAGAAUGAGUCAAUAGAAAACAAGUAAGACUUACAGUAUUUAAUAAAAGUGAAAAUUAAUUGCACAUCUCUUGAUGCCGGUUGAUGCUGUAAAAUGAAAUGCAUUCAUCAAUAGAUGAGUUAUGCUAAUGCUAAGAUAGUGAAUCAUGGAAAAAAAAGAAAUUGUAUACUAUUAAUUGUUAAAGAUGUAUGCUAUUGGAAUAAGUUACAACUAAAACUACAUGAGCCAUUGUAUUGUGCUAUUUUCAUGAAAAUUGUACGUAUGCAAAUAAUGUUGACUUAAUUUUCUGUUAUUUUUGUUUUACUAUGAUUGUUAUUUAUAUAAUGUUAAAGAAAAUUAUUUACAUAUUUACAAAGUGAUAUUUACAUAUUUAUAAUUUGAUUUUUACAAAAUUUCAAUCAUGUACUUACUUAUACGUCUACAAUUGUCAAGAAAUUUCUUUACAUAUGUACAAUUUGAAAUGUCGUUUAUGUAUAUAUUUAAAUAAGUUUUAGAGUGUAUUCUUUUGUAUAUUUUCAUUAUAUGUACAGGGUGUUCCAUUUUAAAGGAACCACCCCGAAAUUUUCGACGGUUGGCGUUGUACAAA